Molecule: long non-coding RNA, 1294 nt
Organism: Sarcophilus harrisii (Tasmanian devil)
Lineage: Eukaryota; Metazoa; Chordata; Mammalia; Dasyuromorphia; Dasyuridae
Exons: 2
Source: RefSeq, a predicted model, not a curated record
AACAGUAAGCAGCAACCUGCAGCACAACAGGGAACCUGCAGCAAGGCUCCACACCUGGGGCAAUCUUCCAGGGAGGUCCUACCCUCCUGCAAACCAGGAGAACUCUAAGCAAGUGAGCAGUCUAUGUAGCACAAAAGGUCUCACCCCAUUGAUACCUCUCCUAGCACAAGCCAUCUGGGAGGCACUGACUGAUCCCUCUCCAGUAAGCUCAGUUCCUGGGGCCUACCAGUAGAGAAACCUUGUUUCCAUAGCAACCCAGCAGCAGAGCCCCACCUCUGGAGCAGACCAGUAGGAAGAACUCUCCUCCAUGACCAGUCAUCAGAAAGACUGUUAUCAUAGCAAUCCAGUAGCAAGACCUCACCCAUGAAACAGGCCAGAAACUAAACCCCACACCCAGGGGAGGCCAAAGGGGAAUCCCCAGGACAAACCAGAAGGGAAGACUUCUUCCAGCAAAAGUAAACAACUAGCUGGAAAGCUCAGUGAAAGCCAGAAGUGAGAACCAAAGCCCAAGCACAAAAAAAAUUGAGAAGAGAAAUUGGAGAUGAGAAGACAGGUGAUUUGCCCAUCACCCUAUAACUAGCAAGAGUCAGAGGGACUGUACACCAGGACUCAGAUGCCAAGACUUGAUUCUGUCUACUAUGAGACCGUAUGAACUUUAUUUUUACCUAAAUAAUAUUUUAUUUUUUCCAAUUAUAUAUAAAGAUAGUUUGCAACAUUCAUUUUUGUAAGAUUUUCAGUUCUAACUUCCUCCCCUCAAAACUUCCCUACUUCCCCCUCUACAAUAAAGCAAGAAAUCUGGUAUAGGUCAUACAUGUGCAAUCAUUUUAAACAUAUUUCCAUACUAGUCAUGUUGUGAAAGAAAAAUCAGAACAAAAGGAAAAAAAACACAAAAGCACACCAAAAUAAAAGAUGAAAACAGAAUGCUUUGUUCUGCAUUCAGUCUUCUUAUUUUUUCCUCUGGAUAUGGAUGGCAUUUUCCAUCCUAAGUCUAUUGGAAUUGUUUUGAAUCACUGUAUUGCUGAGAAGAGAUAAGUCUAUUAUAGUUGAGCAUCAGAUAAUCUUUUUGUAAGUGUGUACAAUGUUCUCCUGGUUGUGUUCAUUUCACUCAGCAUCAGUUUUAUAUGACCUUUUUUGCUAAUAAAGGAUUAAAGUAGUGCGGAAAAGGAAAUCUUUACCAUACCUUAACCUGGUUUCCUGGUGAAUGACUGAAUGAGGUAUGAAGCAUGGUCUGGAUAUAGUGGGUUAGAUGAACUCAUAUUCACUCAGCAGUUUACCACUCUGGCAAAAUUAAAAA